This 253-nucleotide ribosomal RNA is filed under the name uncultured bacterium. Its description in RNAcentral is "partial 16S ribosomal RNA". It matches the Rfam family "Bacterial small subunit ribosomal RNA", at positions 524 to 776 of the family's 1533-position model. The record is from RNAcentral.
UACGGAGGGGGCUAGCGUUGUUCGGAAUUACUGGGCGUAAAGCGCGCGUAGGCGGCUUUGUAAGUUAGAGGUGAAAGCCCGGAGCUCAACUCCGGAACUGCCUUUAAGACUGCAUCGCUAGAACGUUGGAGAGGUGAGUGGAAUUCCCGGUGUAGUGGUGAUAUGCGUAGAUAUCGGGAGGAACACCUGUGGCGAAGGCGGCUUUCUGGGCCUUACCUGACGCUGAGACGCGAAAGCGUGGGGAGCGAACCGG